CUGCUAUUGUGUGUGUGUCUGUGUGUGUGUGUGUGAGUGUGUUUUCAUUGUUACUAAUAAUCAGUAUUGAUAUUUAAAAGAAGUUCAGUCCUUCCUCAGUGAAAUCCUCUGAUUCUCUUGGAAGACCUUUUUGCUUGUAUGUUUUUUUUUAGAAGGGCAGCACUAAGCUUCAGGAAAAAAAGAAUUAUGUAUAUCAGUGGGCAGGUUUAAGGUGUGUUCUAAAGAAGCUGAACCACAACCACAAGGAUGAGGAGGGAAUUUGGAAAUGUAUAAGUUCACAACUCACCUCCUAGGGCACUUGAAUUCCAUUACUCAACUCAGUGACUUGCAAGACCCUUUCUAAUUGUGCCACUACUUUCAGAGUAACCUGCAAUGAAACUGCCGCUGUAUCACUGAUCUGGUGAACGAAGGGCUGGUGCCUACACCGUGCCACGAAGCCAGCAAGGACUGAGUCCUCCUUCCCACGCACAGAGUCAUCCUGGGGCAGGAGCUUCCUGCAGGCCCACGCUGUGGUGGCCUUGGCUGUGCCUUGUGGCCAAGACAGCAGCACUAAUAACUUCAUAGCCUGCCGAUCUCAGCAGACACAUACCCUGAGGGAACGUGAUAUUUACAUUAGAGAAUGACACAGGAAGAUUACUUCAUGUCACAACAGCAUUAUAGAAACCUGUCUACUCCUACCUCCUUCCACCGGGGAGAGGAUGUGUUAUCAGCCUCAGCUCCUGGUUAAGUGAUACUCCAUCUUCGCCUUGAUAGAAACUUGUCAGAACCUGACAAUAUGCAUUUAGCAUUUGAUUACAUCACCCACUGGUCAUUAAGGAAACCACAGUUGCAUCUUUCUGUUACAGCCUAUCUGAUUAAGUUAUACGAUACAUCCUCCAGCAUUAUUCACGUCCAUAUACACUAGGAGCUAAUUUCCUUCGCUGCACGUCAUCCGGUUUUUAUUAAUGUCUCCUAUGAAAUGAACUUUGGACUUCUAUUUUUUUCCUUCUCCUACCUUCUCACAGUUCAGUCUAUUUAUCAUGGAUUUUUUUUUUUUUCUGAAGAACAUACCAGUAUUUAAGUAUACUAAUAAAUUUUAUUUCUUACUUUUAUUGUAAGAAGGUUUAGUCUUAAUUUAGCUGCCUCUUUUUCUUUUUUUUAGUGAGGUGAUAAGUUCACAAAUAUUUAAGCAAAUUCAGUUCUGAACUAUGGAUGACAGGCAACUUUUACAACAUGUUAAUUUGCAUAAAUAUAACUCCUGAUAUUAAAACAGGGAGAUCAGCCAGCGGUUUAGAGUAGUGACUGAGAACAUGUAUCCUGUCACUGUGACAUUGUGCAGGUUUUAGAAAAGUAUUAUGAGUGCAACGUUUUCACUAUGUCUCUAUUAGUUUAAAAAUAUAAAGCACAGACACAAGGGGAUAUUUCCACUUGAUCUAGUUACUGUGCAUUUAAAUGCAAGUGAAAAUGCUCAAAAACUUGAGACUACAUCUUUCUUUGCCAGAAUUGCAGCCUAGCAUGGUAAAAUAAAUGAAAAUGCAAAAUAUCUACACUUUUCAGUUCGAUCAGAUACCUAUCAGAGCCAGGAUUGCUCCCUGGAAGACCUCAGAGGCAGGAGAAUGCUUAUUGUAAGAUUUACAACCAAUAGGCUGAGCCGCCCGUGGUUAGGAUGAGAGAGAACGUUGCUCUAGAGGUAGCACCACUGUCCUGACUGCUUUCAAACCUUCAUAUGACAAAAAUGAUGAAAAGUUUUCACAAACACAGGGGUCCGAAUUGAUACCAUUUUUCACAUGUGCCCUUGUCAAAUCAUAUAUGGCAGAACACAUGCCUGCAAGCCUCCACACAUACACAACUUAGCUUUAACAUUUCUGCUAAAUUUAAUCUCUUUCGAGCUUACAGUUUUGAGCAGAGUUUGAAGCAGACUCUUUCCAUUAAGUUCAUAAUCUAAUCUCCUUCUUCCUUUCCAUAAAAAUGGCAGAAGUGAGAAGAGAGCAUGGUGAAAUAUGCAAUAACUGGACAGAUAAGUUCAUAUGCUGUGCGCACUAUAAGUAGCAGUGAAGAAGAGAACAAGGCAAACUUGGAAGGUUCUUGAAAAAGAACUUAAUAAGUUAAAAUGCUUUGAAGUGUAUUAAGUAUUUCAGGAUUAGUUAAACAUCUCUCUGGCUGUGAGCAUAGCCCAAUUUAGCCUUCCUUCUUCAUAAUCCCUUUGCUAUCGUGUUAUUUUGGCGAAUUCAAAAUGUAUCUGUACUCAGUUGCAACUAAAAUUAUAUUUAUAAUACCUCAAAAUAAUAAGUGCUAGCAAAAAUAUCAAGUUCUUAUUGUUAUUUUCAACAGUUUCACACAGCAUUGCUAGUAUUCGCUGUCUACAUGGUUGAAAGAGUUCUACAUGGUUGAAAAUAAUUUGCAUAACGACAACAAUGAACAAUUAUUCUACCAGAACUAUGAGCGAAUAUGGUCUUCAGUGCUGAAAACUGUCUGAACACACUUUAUCUCAUUAGUGUUGAAUUAAGUAGGCUUUAUUUAUUCAUAUGACAUUAAUGAUUACAUAGAGCCUAUAACUGUCCAAGUCUCAGAAAUUCUUAGUGCACUAUGGCAGGGUGGAGGAUUUUAGUAGCUCUGUGACAAAGAACAAUAUAAAGUGUGCAGUCUCACUUUCAAACACCAUACCAAUUUUUAUUCUCAUCCUGAACUUUUAGAUUCAUAAAACUUCAGCCUUAUUUUUCCCCCUACAGCCAUAGAACCAUUCAGUUUGAAAUACAAAAAGCACAUCCAUAAUGAAAGGCUUAAGAAUGAUGUGCUCUUCAACAGCACGAUUGCUGUAUGAUUCAUUAUGUUCAAAACCAACAGCAGAUAUUAUGAGAAUACCAUUUAUUAUAUGAUUACUAUUAUCAUAUUAUUAGUACUUAAUCUUGGUGAAUUUCAUGUUCUGCUUUUCCUUUACCUCCUUUCUAAAGAAAUAUUGUGUGGAUGUUACAACAAAAAAGACAGAAAAAAAAGGGAGAUGAACAAGAUUAAUAUUUCUUAGGAAUGUAUGCUAUUACUUUGAUUUGUGAAUGCACAGGAAUAAAAAAAAUCUUCAGAUACAUUACUCUACUGGGUAUACAUGCAUUAGAAUUUAGCCUAAAGAAGGAAAUUAAUAAUAUAGUAUGAGACUUAAAUAUGCUCUCAAAAAGGCUUAUUUCAGUAGGUCGAAGUGAAUUGUAUUUUUACACAGUAUAAAAUACCUCUCUGAGAUGUUUGAGUGUCAGCUAAUUCCUGAGAUAAGUAAUAUUAUGAUGGUUAAAUAGAAUGGAGAGACACAAAACCAAGUUUGAUGCAUUUCCAUGUCAGCACAAAACACCAGAAGCUUUUCUCAACUAAGAGAGGACAGGUGCUUCUAACUUGCAAAGCUCUGUUUUGUCAAUGAGUGGACAUGAUUGUACUGGAGAUAUAUUUUAAAAAGGGAUUCAGGGUCCAGCCUAUUGCUAAAAAUGAGAAAUGGUAACCCAGCAGCGCUCUCAGCUAAUACUUGUAACUAUGACCACAGCUGCGGACAGUCAACUAUCCAGACAGACUAGCUGUUAUAUUACCUUUUCUGCUUUGAACCCUUUAAGGGGUUGAUGAAAAAUAAAGUUUACAAAAUGGCAUCAACUUUUUAGAAAAUCUAAUGCAUUAAUCACAUCAGACAACUAUCAGCACAUUUAAUAGCAGAGAGGCAAAUUACAGCACCUGACAGAAGACUUCAAAGGGUUUUAAUGGUAAAUAUGAGCUAAUGCUCCUUGCCAUGAAAAAGCCCUUUUUUUUUUUUAUUGCUUUAAUAGAUGGAGGAACUGGAAUGCGGAACAGAUAUAUUACCACUUGUACAUUGUUCACCACAUUAGACUGCUGAAUACUGGAAAUCUGUCUUGAAAUAUCAAAAUUAAAAAAAACAAAAACAAAAACAAGAACAAAAAAAAACCACAACUCCCUCCCCCAAACCCCUGGGUUUCUGGCAAGUGUUGCAUACAAACACAGUGCAAAAUGAAUGUUGGUGACUGGAACACUUAUCACUGUUUCCAUAAACGUUUGAGGUAACGUCAUGUAUAUUCAGAGAUCUUUUUCAUCACAUUGAUAUUGACCAGCAAGGCUAUAUACAAACACACUUGCAUGUAUAACCUUGCUGAUUAUAUUAAUGCAUAUAACAUAUUAAUAUUUAUAUUAGUAAAUCUACAUAGAACUCUUAGGUAGUAUUCCUGAAAGUUUGUUUAUAAUGAAAGAAACAGCUGUGUGUCAAAAUUAAAAGACAAUAAAACAUAUUUUCCACUACUUUGUCCUGAUUUGUAGCAAAAAAAAGAUCAGAACAGUGUUUUUCAGUAAAGACAGUCUAUCAGAAAAUUUUCAUCUUAUAAUUUAAACACUUAAUUUAACUUUUUUCCUGAUCUUGCAUUCCAAAAUAAGAUUUAUAUAUAUGUACAUGUAUACUUGUAAAUACAUAUAUAUAAAUAUAAAAUUGUAAACAAUAGGAAAAUAAAAUCAUCCAAUAGCAUCAAAUAUAAUGUGGACUUCUAAAGAAUCUGUAAACAUUGAAAGUGAUCUUUUUCUAGGCGUGCGUUAAGAGAACUAGCAACAUUUUGUAAAAAUGAAUCCCAAAGUCUUCACUAUCUGAAAGCAAAUCAGCACAGAGCAAAUAAGGGCUGAACCAUAUGUCUUCUCAAUUUUAGACCAGAUGAAAAGAAAGAGGAAAGAAGGACACAGAAGGUACAUUUUUUUAGAUUUCUGGCAAAAACUGUGGAUUUGUUUCUUACAGUAAUGAUGAGAUUGAAGAAUCUCCAUUGGACAUUGUUUGGCUGAGUUCCUGUUAAAAUAAUUAAUUGCACACUGCUAGGAUAGUAUAGUUAUUGACAUAUUGUGGCACCAGGAGAUUUGGACAGGCAUUCUUAAUUAUUUAUAAUCUAAGCAAGUAAAUACAAUUAAGUAACAUGUAUUCGUGUGAAAUUCAAAUUGAGUCUCAGAGGUAUGUAAGAUCACCUUUGCUUAAAGUUGAUCCGUGCUUACAAAAUGAUGACUUACAUAAACUUUUAUAGACCUACUAACAUUUGAUUGAAUCUGAAAUGACUUAGUUGUAGAGGUUUGGAAAACAGUAAGAAAGAGUAUUUUAAAAGAAAUUUAAUUAGCACAAAAUCUUAAUCCUAUCAAGAGAAAGACAAAAUCCGUGGCAAAGACAAAGAAAUGAAUAAAACAAAUAAGAUAUCUGAA
Molecule: long non-coding RNA, 5190 nt
Organism: Numida meleagris (helmeted guineafowl)
Lineage: Eukaryota; Metazoa; Chordata; Aves; Galliformes; Numididae
Exons: 3
Source: RefSeq, a predicted model, not a curated record